CCGCCCGUCACAUCAUGGGAGUUGGAUGUAUCCGAAGUCACUGACUCAACCCGUAAGGGAGAGGGGUGCCUAAGGUAUGGCCGAUGACUGGGAUG
RNAcentral lists this ribosomal RNA (95 nucleotides) under uncultured bacterium. RNAcentral describes it as "partial 16S ribosomal RNA". It matches the Rfam family "Bacterial small subunit ribosomal RNA", at positions 1390 to 1482 of the family's 1533-position model. The record is from RNAcentral.